This is a long non-coding RNA of Oncorhynchus tshawytscha (Chinook salmon), 290 nucleotides long. NCBI's taxonomy places the organism in Eukaryota, Metazoa, Chordata, Actinopteri, Salmoniformes, Salmonidae. The record is from Ensembl.
CCGAGGAACAGUGGGUUAACUGCCUUGUUCAGGGGCAGAACGACAGAUGUGUACCUUGUGAUUGGAUGGAAUGAGGGUGUGGAUAGAAGGUGGCUAGAGAGAGAGAAAUGGAGAGGGAUGGAUGGAGAGAGAGAGAUGGAGGUGGGUAGAGAGACUUGAGAUGGAAGUGAAGAUGGAGAGAGGGAUGGAGGUGAAGAUGGAGAGAGGGAUGGAGGUGCAUGGAGAGAGGGAUGGAGGUGGAUGGAGAGAGAGAUGGAGGUGCAUGGAGAGAGGGAUGGAGGUGCAUGGAG